AGCAGCAUGGCGCAGCUGGAAGCGCGCGGGGCCCAUACUCUUUAUUAGAGACACCCCGAGGUCACUUGAUCGAAACAAGUUGCUGCUA
RNAcentral lists this transfer RNA (88 nucleotides) under Crucibulum laeve. RNAcentral describes it as "tRNA-Met". The record is from RNAcentral. Lineage: Eukaryota; Fungi; Basidiomycota; Agaricomycetes; Agaricales; Nidulariaceae.